RNAcentral lists this ribosomal RNA (406 nucleotides) under uncultured bacterium. RNAcentral's name for it is "partial 16S ribosomal RNA". It matches the Rfam family "Bacterial small subunit ribosomal RNA", at positions 30 to 526 of the family's 1533-position model. The record is from RNAcentral.
AUUGAACGCUGGCGGCAGGCCUAACACAUGCAAGUCGAGCGAGCGGCGGACGGGUGAGUCAUGUCUGGGAACCUGCCUGUUGGAGGGGGAUAACUACUGGAAACGGUAGCUAAUACCGCAUACCAUCAGAUGUGCCCAGAUUGGAUUAGCUAGUGGGUGGGGUAACGGCUCACCUAGGCGACGAUACCUAGCUGGUCUGAGAGGAUGACCAGCCACACUGGAACGGAGACACGGUCCAGACUCCUACGGGAGGCAGCAGUGGGGAAUAUUGGACAAUGGGCGCAAGCCUGAUGCAGCCAUGCCGCGUGUGUGAAGAAGGCCUUCGGGUUGUAAAGCACUUUAAGCGGGGAGGCGUUACCCGCAGAAGAAGCACCGGCUAACUCCGUGCCAGCAGCCGCGGUAAUUC